RNAcentral lists this ribosomal RNA (468 nucleotides) under uncultured bacterium. RNAcentral describes it as "partial 16S ribosomal RNA". It matches the Rfam family "Bacterial small subunit ribosomal RNA", at positions 28 to 507 of the family's 1533-position model. The record is from RNAcentral.
GACGAACGCUGGCGGCGUGCUUAACACAUGCAAGUCGAACGGAAAGGCCCUGCUUUUGUGGCGUGCUCGAGUGGCGAAAGGGUGAGUAACACGGGAGUAACCUGCCCUUGACUUUGGGAUAACUUCAGGAAACUGGGGCUAAUACCGGAUAUGAGCUCCUGCUGCACGGUGGGGGUUGGUAAGGUUCGGCGGUUGGGGAUGGACUCGCGGCUUAGCAGCUUGUUGGUGGGGUAGUGGCUUACCAAGGCUUUGACGGGUAGCCGGCCUGGGAGGGUGACCGGCCACAUUGGGACUGAGAUACGGCCCAGACUCCUACGGGAGGCAGCAGUGGGGAAUAUUGCACAAUGGGCGGAAGCCUGAUGCAGCAACGCCGCGUGCGGGAUGACGGCCUUCGGGUUGUAAACCGCUUUCGCCUGUGACGAAGCGUGAGUGACGGUAAUGGGUAAAGAAGCACCGGCUAACUACGUG